Molecule: ribosomal RNA, 443 nt
Filed under: uncultured bacterium
Lineage: Bacteria
Description: bacterial SSU rRNA
Rfam family: Bacterial small subunit ribosomal RNA
Source: RNAcentral
AAUAUUGGACAAUGGGGGCAACCCUGAUCCAGCCAUGCCGCGUGUGUGAAGAAGGCCUUCGGGUUGUAAAGCACUUUCAGUGGUGAGGAAAGGGUAACGGUUAAUACCCGUUAUCUGUGACGUUAGCCACAGAAGAAGCACCGGCUAACUCCGUGCCAGCAGCCGCGGUAAUACGGAGGGUGCGAGCGUUAAUCGGAAUUACUGGGCGUAAAGCGCACGCAGGCGGAUUGUUAAGCUAGAUGUGAAAGCCCCGGGCUUAACCUGGGAAUUGCAUUUAGAACUGGCAGUCUAGAGUCUUGGAGAGGGGAGGUGGAAUUCCAGGUGUAGCGGUGAAAUGCGUAGAGAUCUGAAGGAAUACCGGUGGCGAAGGCGGCCCCCUCGGACAGAUACUGACACUCAGAUGCGAAAGCGUGGGGAGCAAACAGGAUUAGAUACCCUGGUAG